UACGGAGGCCUCGAGCGUUGUUCGGAAUCACUGGGCUUAAAGCGCGUGUAGGCGGAACGGUAAGUACUUUGUGAAAUCCCCGGCUUCAAUCCGGGAACUGCUUGGUAUACUGCCGUUCUUGAGGCAGGUAGGGGUUACUGGAACCUUAGGUGGAGCGGUGAAAUGCGUAGAUAUCUAAGGGAACGCCUGUGGCGAAAGCUGGUGUCAGGGCCUGACCUGACGCUGAGACGCGAAAGCGUAGGGAGCAACCGGG
This 253-nucleotide ribosomal RNA is filed under the name uncultured bacterium. RNAcentral's name for it is "partial 16S ribosomal RNA". It matches the Rfam family "Bacterial small subunit ribosomal RNA", at positions 524 to 776 of the family's 1533-position model. The record is from RNAcentral.